This 391-nucleotide ribosomal RNA is filed under the name uncultured bacterium. RNAcentral describes it as "bacterial SSU rRNA". It matches the Rfam family "Bacterial small subunit ribosomal RNA", at positions 28 to 420 of the family's 1533-position model. The record is from RNAcentral.
GACGAACGCUGGCGGCGUGCUUAACACAUGCAAGUCGAGCGGUAAGGCCCUUUCGGGGGUACACGAGCGGCGAACGGGUGAGUAACACGUGGGUGACCUGCCCUCAGCUCUGGGAUAAGCCUGGGAAACCGGGUCUAAUACUGGAUAUGACUCCAUGGCGCAUGUUGUGGGGUGGAAAGCCUUGUGCGGCUGAGGAUGGGCCCGCGGCCUAUCAGCUUGUUGGUGGGGUGANGGCCUACCAAGGCGACGACGGGUAGCCGGCCUGAGAGGGCGACCGGCCACACUGGGACUGAGACACGGCCCAGACUCCUACGGGAGGCAGCAGUGGGGAAUCUUGCGCAAUGGGCGAAAGCCUGACGCAGCGACGCCGCGUGAGGGAUGACGGCCUCGG